UUAUCUUAUUAAUCAUUCUAUCACUUUAUUACUUGUAUUUUAAUAGAGUAAUAGAGGAGAAUGAUAUCUUGUUAAUCAUUUUAUUACUUGUUCACUAUACCGUGUACUUGUGAGAUUUUGUAUGAUCAGCUUCCAAUAGUCCUCAGAUCCUAUUGCCACUCGAGAUGACACCCCCUUCGCCUCGGAGUUGGGCGCUGUACAAGUAGGAGCAGAUUGAUGGCCAAAUCUAGCAGUUGAUACGACAUUACGACCUCACCAAAUCUAGCAGUUGAUACGACAUUACGACCACUCUAUUUCCCUCCACGUUUCAUGAUAUUUAUGUCCUUGAAAUCAGCCACACAAAAAAAUCCACUCAUGAGUAUCUCAUUGCACCCCUGAUCAAUAAACUUCCAGUAGCUUGUCUAUUUCCAUACUCUUUGUCGACACAGCAUGUAUGACUUCCAGUGUGUAGGAGAUAACCACUCUCCCAUGAGAUAAAUGAGGUAUGAAAAGGUUUCCUUAGCAGACUCAUGGAGCUGCAGCUUGGAUUAUUGUAGAAUAAGAGGGGCCGCCUUAGCUUAAAAAAUUAUCCUCAAUUAGCCAACAUCUUGUACAGAACUCACACACCUUAAUUUUUCUCCUACGAAGAUUUGUCGUUUGUAAUUAUU
RNAcentral lists this long non-coding RNA (647 nucleotides) under Olea europaea (common olive). Its description in RNAcentral is "long non-coding RNA (OEUR_LNC008536)". The record is from RNAcentral. Lineage: Eukaryota; Viridiplantae; Streptophyta; Magnoliopsida; Lamiales; Oleaceae.